This 74-nucleotide transfer RNA is filed under the name Rhodospira trueperi. It matches the Rfam family "tRNA". Rfam says of the family: Transfer RNA (tRNA) molecules are approximately 80 nucleotides in length. The record is from Rfam by way of RNAcentral. Lineage: Bacteria; Pseudomonadati; Pseudomonadota; Alphaproteobacteria; Rhodospirillales; Rhodospirillaceae.
GGCCCCGUAGCUCAACUGGAUAGAGCAGCGGACUUCUAAUCCGCAGGCUGCAGGUUCGAACCCUGCCGGGGUCG